GUUGUUUUGCAGAAAUUUGGUGUAGUUCGUGGUUAUUAUGUGUCGUUUUGUGGUAAUUCUGCGUUGUGUUUUAAUAUUUUGUGGUCAUUUUGUGUUGUAUUGUUGUAAUUUCAGUCUGCGUCUCUUUCUUGUCAUUUUCUCAGAUUUUCUAUCAUUUGUUCUUAUUUCUUGCCUCCUUGUGGUGACUUCGGAACUAUUUUCUUCCCUCUUUGUUGUCUUUUUCUGACAUCAGUUGUCAUUUUUGUUCUUUUACGAUAAUUCUUGUGUUGUUUUGUGAAAAAUUUUGUGGUCAUUUCAUUGUUAUGUGGUUGUUUUGUGGUAAUUUAGUAAUUUUGCCUUAUUUUGCGGUCAUUUAUGUAACCAGGUGGUAAACAGAGACGUUUAAAUUAACUGAACUCCACUGAAAUCCCUGUUUGUGGCUCUUCUGCUGAUUUUCGGUUUGGACAGCAGGGGGCGUAUUGUGACCGGAAGUUGUGGCAACAGAGACAGUCGUGGAUCGGGACAGGAAGAAAAUGAGUACCGAUGGGGAGAGAAUGAAAACACUACACAUGUGCUGCGGGUGCUAAUGGUCCGUAUGCUAGGGAGGAGACUUCCGGUGUAUCAUUUUAUGUUCUUAGUUCCAUGAAAUAUGACUGUAUUUUUAUAUGCAUUGUGUUUUUUGUGUCGGUUAAUGAUGAGAUAUUUGUAACUGCUUUUUUGUUACUGCAGCAUGUGUUGAGCACAGGAGCUUAUACAGGGCAAUGUGGUAACUGUGUGUUUUAUUUAUCCGCGAGGUGCCACAGCUGUAUGUUUCUUGUAGGUUUCUAUUUUUGUAUGGUUCUAGUACUGUUUCUGGUACCGGUUCUUAUAUUAUUGUGCCACAGGUUUUGUGAACCACAUUUCAUUGGGUAAUUUGUAUUAUAUGUAAAAUAAAUUGGGAAACAAAGAACUCCCCACAAAUUUAA
Long non-coding RNA from Acanthochromis polyacanthus (spiny chromis), 944 nucleotides. RefSeq lists it as uncharacterized. Lineage: Eukaryota; Metazoa; Chordata; Actinopteri; Pomacentridae. The record is from RefSeq and is a predicted model, not a curated record. The transcript is spliced from 2 exons.